UACAGAGGGGGCAAGCGUUGUUCGGAAUUACUGGGCGUAAAGGGCGCGUAGGCGGCCCGCUAAGUCGAACGUGAAAUCCCCGAGCUCAACUCGGGAACUGCGUCCGAUACUGGUGGGCUUGAAUCCGGGAGAGGGAUGCGGAAUUCCAGGUGUAGCGGUGAAAUGCGUAGAUAUCUGGAGGAACACCGGUGGCGAAGGCGGGUCUCUGGGCCGAUACUGACGCUGAGGAGCGAAAGCGUGGGGAGCGAACGGG
This 253-nucleotide ribosomal RNA is filed under the name uncultured bacterium. RNAcentral describes it as "partial 16S ribosomal RNA". It matches the Rfam family "Bacterial small subunit ribosomal RNA", at positions 524 to 776 of the family's 1533-position model. The record is from RNAcentral.